ACAAGUACAUCAUGUUAUAUAUGAUGAUAAACCAUAUAUAAGAAUAAGAUUCAAUAUAGAUUAAUUUUUCAGAACCAUAAUUAUAUUAAAAUACUUUCAAAGAAAAUUUAUAGAAACAAAGAAACACUUAAUUUUUUUCAUAAGACAUAAAUUGAUCGAAACGUACAGACACACACAUAUAUAUACACGUAUAUGUAUAUAUAUAUGAAAGACACUUUCAUGACAACUUUAGCUAUCAUAUGCCUAGCCAUAGAUACCCAUGAAAUUGCUACUUAGCACGAUAAGAAGCAUUUCAUUUUAUUUAUUUAUUUAGGCUAAUUAAUUUCAUGCAUGCAUGCAUAUGCAUGAUUUGAUUUAAGAUUCUGAUCGAUAUAUAUUUAUUUCUUGGCGCGCGCCGUUAAUUGAAUCAUCAACAAUCAAAGUAACAGAAGCAUUUCCAACUGCCUCGUUUGUGACAUGCUCCAUGUUUUGCACCUUCCCAGCUCUGGCACUGCUUAUCACAGUGCUGUGUGUUUCCGCACUUCCCGGACCAUGUCAAGCUUGCUUUUUCACACAGUUUUCCCUCAACACCUGCACAAUUAAUUAAUUAAUAUACCAAAAGUUAAUUUAAGAAAUUCAAACACACUAGUAUGCAUGCAUACACUAAACAUUAAUCUUAAAAAAAUACAAAAUUAACACUGAUACGUACGAUCAUUUAUAUAUUAAGUUUUACUUUAUAUAUUGUGAAAAAAUUGCAAACUAACCAAAAUAAAAAUAAAAAUUCCUCGCAUGAUUAUGAAUAUUGAUCAGAAUAGUGCUGAUGGAAUAUUGCACCAACAUGCAUGCAUAUAUAUAUAUAUAUAUAUAUAUAUAUAUAUAUAUAUAUAUAUAUAUAAAACAAUAAAUGCACCGGAUGUAAAAUCCAGGCUCAUCGAACAUAGUUCGACCACAGUUCAUAUAUAUAAAUAUAUAUAUAAAAGCGAGUAAACGCACCAGACCGAAGUCUAGGCUCAUCGAACAAAGUCCGACACACAGUUGAUAUACGUAGAAGGGUGUGUGCAAAGAUGAAGAGAAAGACUCUAAAGUGUAUGAGAAGGCUUACAGCUGACUGAUAAAAAGGGCUUCUAUAUCUUUAGAGUGGGUAAACACUGGGCUUUUGUGGGUACAAAAGAGGCUAUAUAUGAGCUCACAGGUGUUUGAAAGUGGGAAAAUACACUGUAUGGCGAGUGCAGAGCAAAUUGUGCAGGGUUUCCCCGUCUUUUUUCUCUUAAAAAUCAGCACCCCAAGCCUCUUAUUUAUAGGCAAAAGGUGNNNNNNNNNNNNNNNNNNNNNNNNNNNNNNNNNNNNNNNNNNNNNNNNNNNNNNNNNNNNNNNNNNNNNNNNNNNNNNNNNNNNNNNNNNNNNNNNNNNNUAUAUAUAUAAAUAUAGGUCGAAAUUAAAGAUAAGUAGUCACCUGUGUUAGCAAGGAGGAAAAAAAUUAGAGAGACUGUAAUGAAGGUAGUUGGGCUAAAUUUUAUUGCCAUGUUUAAUCUUCUUGAAUUGAACUAAACCAUUCAUUCAUUUUGUGGGGAAUUUAUAGUAAAUGAUUCUUGGCUAAGUCCGUGUUUGAUUUAUAUUUUUAAUUUACACGUGACGGACAAUAUUCUUAGGACGUGACAAAUACGAGAAUAGUUGCCACUACCCUAUAUAAUACUCCCUCCGUUCUUAAAAGAUUAUCGUUUUAUAAAAAAUAAUUUAUUUCAAUUUAUUUGUCGUUUAUAACUAUCGAAGAGAAUAAAUUAUUUACUUUCUUUUAUCACCCCUAGUCCUACGUACCUUCUCUCAUUUUUUCAAGAAAUUCUCUCCCUUAAUAAUUUUUAACUUCCCAUAAAAGAGUAGUGAUGAAAUUUCAAACAAAUUUUAAUUAUUAAAUGAUAGUGAGAUAAUAUAUAUAUAUAUAUAUAUAUAUAUAUAUAUAUAUAUAUAUAUAUAUAUAUAUAUAUAUAUAUAUAUAUAUUAUACAGUCAGAGUCACGCCUCCAUUGUUGAAAUUUUGUAGCAGUGUCCGCAAAAUGACUUGUUCCAUGCAUGAUAGAAAGCAUUUAUGUUUGUGAUCAUAUAAUGUUGGUCUAGAAAUCUUUUUGCUGCCUAAUUUCUCUCUCAUAUACGUACAAAUAAUCAUAGAAAUGCUUCCAUUAUUGAAGUUUGGUAAAACUAAUUAUUUCUCUACUGUAUUUGACAUCUUUUAUUUAUUUUUUUAUUAAAAUUUUAAUUUAUUCAACUAAUAUUUUAAUUUAAUUAAAAUAAUGAAAUUAAAUAGACGUUAACUUACUUCAAUUUUUUGACAAAACUAAUAAUUUUCUUACUUACUCGACAUAUUUUAUUUAUUACAACACUAAAAUUCAUUUAUGUGAAAACCAUCACAAUUUGCAUGACUUGAUAAAAGAAUCAAAUGACAAAAAUUCAAAUACGUGAAAACGGAAGUGGUUAACAUAAAAUUUAUUUUUGGGUAAGUUGGUCAAUUAAUUAAUAAAAUAUUGACAUACAAACGAUGUUCUAUAUGUAUCAAUAUUUUAUUAAUUAAUUGACAAAUUUACUUAAAAAUAAAUUUCACACUGACCGAAUCCCGUAAAAACCAUCACAAUUUCCAUAUGCAGGAGUUAGGACCCACUAGUGGGUAGUCAUAUCUAGCCUUGCAAGCCACGUGUGUGGACCCCCAUAAUUUCAUUUUUCAAAUAACUUGCUUUUCUUGACAAUCUAUGGGGAAGGGGAAGGGGAAGGAAGCGGAAAUUUUUGGGUUUUUUAGUAGAGAAGUGAUUAUGAUUUUCUAUUGAGUUUUUUUUAGAUGGAUAUAAAAAUUAGAUUAAAAUAUAUUAAAAUUUUAUUUAUUUAUAUUUUUAAUUUUUAAUAUAAAAAUUAAAAUAUAAAUAAAUAAAAUUUAAAUAUAUUUAUAUUUAAUUUUUAUGUUCAAUUUUACUUAAUAAAAUAAUCAAAUGACAAAAAAUUCAAAUAUGUGAAAACCAUCACGAUUUGCAUAUGUAGGACCCACUAGUGGGUAGUCAUAUCUAGCCUUGCAAGUCACAUGUGUGGACCGCCAUAAUUUCAGUUUUCAAAUAACUUGCUAUUCUUGACAAUCUUUUGGGAUGGGAAAGAAAGGGGAAUUUUUUUGAUUUUUAGUGAGGAAGUGAUUGUGAUUUCUCACUUACCUUUUUUUACUGGACAUCAAAAUUAGAUAUAAAAUUAAAAAUUAAUGUAUUUAAAUUUUAUUUAUUUAUAUUUUUAUCUUUUAAUAAAUAUCAAAAUAAAACUAAAUAAAAUUUAAAUAUAUUUAUAUUUAAUUUAUAUAUCUAAUUUUUAUGUUCACCAACAAUUUUUAUUUCUCAAUAGUACAUCCACGGAAAUUGCAUGUUUCUCGUUAAUGAUUUUGGAGUGACAGAAGUGGUGGGCCUUUUUUCUAGUCUAUGUUAUGCAGAGUUGGAUGGAUUGUUUGGUUAAAUACGCAAUUUUGUAUAGUGUUAUUUAAAUAUUUUUUUAAUUUUGUCAUAUUUUUACACUAAAAUAAAAUAUUUAAUAUUUAUAUUUCUGUUCAAAUGUGGAGUGUUGAACACAAAUAAUUCAAAAUAAAAUAAAGGAUAAAAUGAAGAGUGUGUAACAUAAUUUCUAGUACAAUGGAGUACUCCAUACGUUUCAAAAUAACUGUUCAGUUUUAAUUAUUUUGAUCAAAUUGAUUAUUUUUAAAAUUAAUAAUUAAGCACAUAUAAAUAUUUUUUAAAAUUAUAAAAAUUGAAAUUGAUAAUAAAUCAUAUGUAGUUUGUUAGUGUCAAUCCCUUCACCUAUAUUUUAGAUACAAAAAAUUUAAAAAUAAUUAAUUCGACCCAAAAAAUAAAAUAAAUCAAAACUGGUCAUUGAUGGUGGGAGGAUUGGGGGGAGUAUUACAUAUAGAACUUCCACUCUCAUCUCACGUCAUGCAAAGAUAAGGAUCCGGUUAGUAUAAAUACUCCGCCAUCAGCCUGGUGAUAUAGCGGUGUAUUUAAUUAUUUUUUUAUUACGUGAUGUGAUUACGUGUUGAGGGGGAAAUUGUUGAGGUAGUAAAGUCUUACAUGCAGCAUGACACAUGCUUUUGAAUAACAAUGACAUGCAUAUUGAAAUAAAUAUAUAUUGAAUUAAACCAUUUUGUGGGGUAUUUAUUUGUUUCACCGUUCAUGCAUGAUAUAUAUUGAAGCAUGUAUUUUAGAAGAAUCUUAAAAUAUCAAUUCUCAAUUUCAAGUUGAAUUUAAUUUAGAAGAGAAACUUGUCGCGGAUCAAGAAUUAAGACCAUCUAUAAUGAAAUAUGAUGCUAACAUAGAGAAAAUAUUGGUCAAGAAUAUUUACUUAAGGGCCCUCAUGAUCAACCAAUGAUUUGUUAAUAUUAUUAUGAUUAGUUAAUAUACUGAUUAGUAUAUGUUUUUUUUAAUUUAAUUUUAACAAAAAAUUUAGUUAAAAUACGCCUUUGUUUGGAAAAAUUUCUGAAUGAUCCGCUCAUGUGUAAGGGUAAUAUAACAAUAUAUAGUAUAUUUUAAAAAUAAAAAUAAUAUGUCCUCCAUUCCCUCAUUCAAAACUCAGAAACAAUAAAAAAUAUAAUUAAAAUUCUCAUCAUUUUUCUUAUUUUUUAAAACACACAAAUAUAACGAAAAAAAAAUUAUAAUCCAUUCCCCUCUUAUUCUUACCCUUCACAUUCCAUUCCAUCCCAUCCCAUCCCAUCAAACUGACAAGCACAACAAGUUAUAUAUGAUGAUAAUCAUAAGCGUCAAUAUAGAUUAAUUUUUCAGAAGUAUUACACGCCAUAAUUAUAUUGAAGUAUUUUCAAAGAAAAUUUAUAGAUUAAUCAAAGAAACACUUAAUUUUUUCAUAAGACAUAAAUUGAUCGAAAAGUACAGACACACAUAAUAUAUAUAUAUAUAUAUAUAUAUAUAUAUAUAUAUAUAUAUAUAUAUAUAUAUAAGACACUUUCAUGACAACUUUAGUUAUCAUAUGCCUGCCUAGUUAUAGUGACCCAUGAAAUUGCUACUUAGCACCAUAAGAAGCAUUUCAUUUUAUUUAUUUAUUUAGCACGAUAAGAAGAAAUUUAUUUCUUGGCGCCGUACGUUAAUUAGAUCAUCAGCAAUCAAAGUAACAGAAGCAUCUCCGAUCGCGACAUGCUCCACGUUUUGCAGAUUCCGCGUUCUGGCACUGCUGUUCACAGUGGCCUGAGUCUCCGCACCUCCCGGACCAUGUCACGCUUAGUUUUUCACAUAAUUUUCCCUCAACACCUAUAUUUGUUUCUGCACAAUUAAUUAAUAAAUAUACCAAAAGUUAGUUUAAGACAGUCAAACACGUACAUGUAUUUAAUACUAAUUAAUAUUGUUGAUUAUGAAUGCAUGCACUAAAAAUUAAUCUUUAAAAAAAAUACAAAAUUAGCACUGGUAGGUACGAUCAUUUAUAUAUAAACUUUUACUUUAUAUAUUGUAAAAAAAUUGCAAAUUAAAGAUAAGUAGUCACCUGUGUUAGCAAUGAGGAAAAAAAUUAGAGAGAUUGUAAUGAAGGUAGUUGGGCUAAAUUUUAUUGCCAUGUUUAAUCUUCUUGAAUAUAUUGAACUAAACCAUUCAUUCAUUUUGUGGGGAAUUUAUAGUAAAAGAUUCUUGGCUACUAGGUUUGAUUUGCAUGUUUAAUUUAGAUGUGAAGACGCGUGACACAAUACAAGAAUGGAGUAUAUAGUUGGCACGGGCCCUAUAUAAUAUAGUAUAUCCGGCCAGCUGCAAAAUGAAAGCACUUUGCUGACUAAUUAAUUUAUCAUAUAAUCAGAGUCCCGCCUCCAUUGUUGAAAUUUUGUAGCAGCCGGCGGCUACUUUAAAGGCCGCAAAAUGACUUGUUAAUUCCAUAUUCCGUCACGUAUUCUUGCUUUUUUAGUAAUGCAUCGACUUAAAACUUUCUCUGCAGUAUGGACGAAGCUAUUUCGUCGCACAACAAGUUCCAAUCGGCAACCCAAUUGACCAACCAUCUCCUUAGACUCGCCAGAUUCACACCCAUCAUCUCCUUUUAAAAAAAAAGAAAAAGUCCAGCCAAAUCAGGGAAGUGAUGCCAUUUAUCACCGAUGGCAUAUUUCUACGUACAGAUCAGAGAGAAAGAUCAAAUAAACAAAGAUUGAUUAAUAAAACCCUAUCAUCCACCUAAAAAGGUGAACAUCUCCACCCCAUUCAUAUCUUCCUAAUAACUGGUUUCAGAUUCAUGCUUGUUAGAUAUGAAGACUUGAUGGGCUUGGGAGAGACUCUCGGUGGAUCAAACAAGAGAUAGCGUGAUACUAAAGUCUCACAUCGAAAUAUAAGAACAAAGAUGUAAGAAAUAUAUGAUCUAAUGGACCAUAAACAUAAUAGAUUAACUUUUUUAUACAAGAUGUGGUUUCAGAUUAACACAAACUAUACAUAAAAAUUAUGCACAAAAUAGUAUAAAAAGGGAGUAAAAAUAAAAAUUGGACCUACGAUUAUAUAUUUUACGUAUUUAAUUUUUAUGUGACUAAUACACAGUUCCGAUACUUAUGAGAGAAAUUUUAUGAAAAUAUAAAUUUUAUUUGUGAAAAUAUAAAUUUUCUACGUUUAAUUAUACAUCAAUCAUUUGAUUAGAUGGGAUUUGUUUGUGGACAAAGUUUUUUAAAUCUACUGCUGGUCGCUGGUUAAUAGCAACAGUAAAGUUGUAGAAGACUACUGUUGUAGUGAAGGAUAUGGGUGUAAUUUCCUCGAAUAACGCACAUGGGAUAGCUUUAAAUAUGCUGGAAUGGUAUGUGGGAUACUUUUCCGUCAUUUAGGAUAAGGCUUUAAUUAGUGGACCAAUUGCAUAUCAAGUACAUGCAGUAGUGGUUCAUGAAUUAGGUUUGAAUGCUUGCAGAAAUAACAAUUCUUUACUUUACGAGUUAGUAAUUUUUUAAGUGGAUAUAAAAAUUGAAUUUAAGGGUAUUUAAAAUUUAUUUAUUUAUAUUUUUAUUUAUUAUUGUGAAUUAAAAUACAAAUAAAUAAAAUUUAAAUACACUCAUAUCUAAUAAAGAAUUUUUGUACGUUUAAUUAUACAUCAAUCAUUUGAUUAGAUAGAAUUUAUUUGUGAACUAAGUUUUUUGAUUCAACUGCUGGUCGUUAUUUGGUCACUGCUACUUUCAUUCUUAUAAGAUUGUCGUUUAAAAUUUUGACACAUGGAUUAAGAAAGUAUCAUUUAUCAAGGAAAUUUUAUUUAAAAUUUCAUCACUACCCUUUAUAGGAAGUUGAAAACUAUUAAUAUAAGAGAAAGAAUUUUUUGGGACAAUGAAAGAAGGUAGGGGUAAUAUAGAAAAAUAAAUAAUUUAUUCUCUUUGAAAGUUGUAAACGAUAAAUUUUGUAGAAUAAUUUUUUUUCCUUCUAAAACGACAAUACGAGGGAGUAGUUAAUAGCAAUAGUAAAAGUUGUAGAUGAAGGAUAUGGGUGUAAUUUCUUCAAAUAACGCACAUGGGAUAGCUUUAAAUUAAUUUAUAUACGUUAGAGUAGCAGGUGGGAUACUUUUCAAUUAUUUAGGACAAGGUGUUAGUUGAGUAAUUGCAUAUCAAGUACAGUAGUGGUUCAUGUAUUGGGUUUGAAUGUUUGUAGAAAGGAAAUUUGUAGGAAACUGAUAUUUCUAAAUAUUAAAAUUAUACUUUUACACGAGUACGUUUGUCUCAGUUCUCAAUUUGUAUCAAUCAAAUAAUUUCUCUUUUUACAACAAUUUUCGUUAUUAAAGGCUUUAAUUGAUUAAGUCUGUUGAAUUAAUAGUCUUAUUUCAAUAUUAAUAAAAAAUUUCCUUCAUAAAGCUAUCAUAGUUAAGUUAAGGCUACAUAAACAGAUAAACUUAUCUGGGCCUAAAGUAUUGCAUAUGACAUGGGAUACUAGCUAAUUUAUAAUCAGAAUAUGGGUAUAUUUUGAAGUUUUGUAGGUAAAGUUAGCAAAUUGCUUUGUUUCAUAAUAUUUAAUUAUUUAUGAUUGGGAGUUUGGUGAGCAAAGAAUUAAAUAGAGAAAAUAUAUUCACUCAUCUCCUGCCCCUUAAUUCAAUUAUCAUAAAAAUGGUUCCCUUUUUUCUUCUUCUUUAUCUUCCUCUCUAUGCCUUCGACACAAAAUCUAACCAUAUAUAUAUAUAUAUAUAUAUAUAUAUAUAUAUGUGGUACAUAAUAAUCACUUGAUAUAUUUUAGUUUGGUUUGGAAUGAUCGAAUUUAGUGGAGGACGCCCAUAUACUCCUUUUACUACCACAAGGAGUUGUGUGGAAAAUCCCAAAAAUGUAAAUUUCUGAAUGGAGGGAGUAUCACUACUGAACAAAGAACUUGGUCCCUUAGAUUUUGGAUUUUCAAAUUAAACCCACUUAAUAAAUAAUUAAGUUAGGACUAUAGCAAUGCUAUAUAUCAUGAUACCAAAGGCUUUUGGCGUUAGUGGUAUUACUCAACCCAGGGUAACUAUGAGAUUGAGGGCUCGAGCCUUGACAUGCUAAGGUUGAGUGUGUGAGUUUCAGUUCUUGUCUAAAUUAGCAAGUAUAUAUGAUUAGUCAGCAUACAACUGAAUAAACAAAAAAGGAUCAUUAAAAGCUUAUGAGUGAGCUUAGUUUUGAGAAUUACAAGGGAAGAUAAAAGUUUUGAAAGAACUUUCUCUUUCCUAUCUAUUCAUAAGACUCACAAACAUUAAUUAUAUUGGCCUAAAGUACGUACUUCAAUAAAAGUACUACUACUACUGCAUGAUAAGAAACAUAGAAACACUUAAUUUAUUCAUAAAACAUUGAAACGUACGUACGAUGGAUCAAAACAGAUACAUGAAACAACUUCCAGCCAUAAUGAUCAUGCGCUAGCAUUUUCAUGCGUGCAUGGUUUAAGAUUCUUAAUAUAUUCCCUUCCCAGGUAUUGGUUCAACAAUCAAAGUAACAAAAGCAUUUCCAAUUGCCUCGUUUGUGACAUGCUCCAUGUUUUGCA
RNAcentral lists this long non-coding RNA (8920 nucleotides) under Panax ginseng (ginseng). Its description in RNAcentral is "long non-coding RNA (PGIN_LNC008963)". The record is from RNAcentral. Lineage: Eukaryota; Viridiplantae; Streptophyta; Magnoliopsida; Apiales; Araliaceae.